GACGGGUGAGUAACGCGUGAGAAUCUGCCUUCAGGACGGGGACAACAGCUGGAAACGGUUGCUAAAACCCGAUGUGCCUACGGGUGAAAUAUUUAUAGCCUGAAGAGGAGCUCGCGUCUGAUUAGCUAGUUGGUUGGGUAAUGGCUGACCAAGGCGACGAUCAGUAACUGGUCUGAGAGGAUGACCAGUCACACUGGGACUGAGACACGGCCCAGACUCCUACGGAAGGCAGCGGUGGGGAAUUUUCCGCAAUGGGCGCAAGCCUGACGGAGCAAUACCGCGUGAGGGAGGAAGGCUCUUGGGUCGUAAACCUCUUUUAUCAGGGAAGAACACAAUGACGGUACCUGAUGAAUCAGCAUCGGCUAACUCCGUGCCAGCAGCCGCGGUAAUACGGAGGAUGCAAGCGUUAUCCGGAAUUAUUGGGCGUAAAGCGUCCGCAGGUGGUUUUGGUAGUCUGCUGUCAAAGCGCGAGGCUCAACUUCGUAUCGGCGGUGGAAACUCCAAGACUAGAGUUUGGUAGGGGUCACGGGAAUUCCCAGUGUAGCGGUGAAAUGCGUAGAUAUUGGGAAGAACACCAGCGGCGAAAGCGCGUGACUGGGCCUGAACUGACACUCAUGGACGAAAGCUAGGGGAGCGAAAGGGAUUAGAUACCCCUGUAGUCCUAGCCGUAAACGAUGACAACUAGGUGUUGCCCGUAUCGACCCGGGCAGUGCCGUAGCCAACGCGUUAAGUUGUCCGCCUGGGGAGUACGCACGCAAGUGUGAAACUCAAAGGAAUUGACGGGGGCCCGCACAAGCGGUGGAGUAUGUGGUUUAAUUCGAUGCAACGCGAAGAACCUUACCAAGGCUUGACAUGUCGCGAACCUUCUUGAAAGGGAAGGGUGCCUUCGGGAGCGCGAACACAGGUGGUGCAUGGCUGUCGUCAGCUCGUGUCGUGAGAUGUUGGGUUAAGUCCCGCAACGAGCGCACCC
This 970-nucleotide ribosomal RNA is filed under the name uncultured bacterium. Its description in RNAcentral is "bacterial SSU rRNA". It matches the Rfam family "Bacterial small subunit ribosomal RNA", at positions 100 to 1103 of the family's 1533-position model. The record is from RNAcentral.